GACGAACGCUGGCGGCGUGCUUAACACAUGCAAGUCGAACGGUGAAGCGCCUUCCUUUUUGGUGGGUGUGGAUGAGUGGCGAACGGGUGAGUAACACGUGAGUAACCUGCCCCCUUCUUCUGGAUAACCGCAUGAAAGUGUGGCUAAUACGGGAUAUUCUGGGUCUGUCGCAUGAUGGGUCUGGGAAAGAUAUUGUUUCGGUGGGGGAUGGGCUCGCGGCCUAUCAGCUUGUUGGUGGGGUGAUGGCCUACCAAGGCGGUGACGGGUAGCCGGCCUGAGAGGGUGGACGGGCACACUGGGACUGAGACACGGCCCAGACGCAUACGGGAGACAGCAGUGGGGAAUAUUGGACAAUGGGCGCAAGACUGAUGCAGCGACGCCGCGUGAGGGAUGGAGGCCUGCGGGUUGUGAACCUCUUUCGCCAGUGAAGCAGGCCUGCCUCGUUUGUGGGUGGGUUGACGGUAGCGGGAUAAGAAGCGCCGGCUAACUACGUG
Molecule: ribosomal RNA, 494 nt
Filed under: uncultured bacterium
Lineage: Bacteria
Description: partial 16S ribosomal RNA
Rfam family: Bacterial small subunit ribosomal RNA
Source: RNAcentral